This 108-nucleotide ribosomal RNA is filed under the name uncultured fungus. RNAcentral's name for it is "partial 28S ribosomal RNA". It matches the Rfam family "Eukaryotic large subunit ribosomal RNA", at positions 1 to 106 of the family's 3401-position model. Lineage: Eukaryota; Fungi. The record is from RNAcentral.
UUGAUCUCAAAUCAGGUAGGACUACCCGCUGAACUUAAGUCAUAUCAAUAAGCGGAGGAAAAGAAACUAACAAGGAUUCCCCUAGUAACUGCGAGUGAAGCGGGAAGA